Long non-coding RNA from Hordeum vulgare subsp. vulgare (domesticated barley), 968 nucleotides. RefSeq lists it as uncharacterized. The transcript is spliced from 3 exons. NCBI's taxonomy places the organism in Eukaryota, Viridiplantae, Streptophyta, Magnoliopsida, Poales, Poaceae. The record is from RefSeq and is a predicted model, not a curated record.
CCUCCCCGCUACCCCAUCCCAUGGCGCCUCACUCCCUCCUUCCUCCCCCGCCCCCGCCAUCCCACGGGACCGCCUCUCCCCGGCGCCGCACCGCCGUCGCCUCGUUCCCUUCCGCGCGCAGAGGAAUUUGAUGGUUCGAUUUUUGGAGACCAUCGUCUGCAGUCCUUAAUCCCCGUCCACCUCUGUCCGUCAUAGACCACAUCCGUCGACCACGAUUCCACGAAGCUGGAGAACGCGGGGGACAGUGCCGGCCGAGAACAAGGAAGCACGGGUGACCCUUUUCCACUCCACCGAUGGCUGCGCGCUCAAGGUGGAGGAGCUCGCCGGAGUAAAAAAAAAGUGAUGGGCAAAGCUUCACCGGUGGAAGAGUAGCUCCAGCAGAGGAGCAGCAACUGUAGCAGAGGAGGAGCAGCAGCUCAGACAAAUGAACAGCAGCACUACGUGUAGAGGAGCUCCUCCAGCCCCUCGGCCCGAUGGCUUCUCCCCUGAGGUUUGGAGAUGCUGUUGCUGCGCCAACUAGAGAUGAUAGGGGAGCCGAUGAGCCAAACGGCACAAGCAAGCUAAAGGUUCCCCCUUGUGAGCUCGACGGCGACGGCGACGUCUUGUUCGUGGUUCAAUAGAUUUAUAGGUGUUCAGAUUUAGUGUCAUCAAUUUAUAGAUUUUGUAAAACCUUGUUGUAAUAUACACUGGCACCAAGAAUUCAGGUUUUACAUCAAACAUCCUGAAUUCUGAAAAUUGUUGUAAUAUACACUGGCACCAACAGAUUGCAACCAGACAAGGAAAUGCAUGGCAUUCGGUGAAAGUUUGCGAUUGUAAUAGCUGCAACCAUUCUGUAAUGAUCAUCCCUAGUUUUCCCUAAUAGCUGCAACCAUUCUGUAAUGAUUGUAACUGGAGUAUGCCAUACAUCCUAGUUAGGCAACUCUUUAUGAACUUUUUCUGUAAAACGAUGAUUUUUACUUUUUCCUGGA